UGUAGUGUUUGCACAAAGGCAGGGUUUCAGAGGUUGCAUGCCAAUGGCUGAGCACAUUCCUAACAGUCCUCUGACUGACUACUGACUUGCCUCAGAACUGCCCUGUGGUCUUGCGGGGAGGAGGUCUUCCUGGGACUUAAUAGUCUAGAACAAGUCUACCGCCUAUUCCUUCUCUUCUCCUUCAUGGGGUCACACUUGGAUCUGACUGCACUCACUCGGCCAGCCUGGCUCCCUCCUGGUAAGCAACUUGUGCUGGUCAGGGGAGGCCUGGAGAGGCUGUUCAGCCAUUCACAGAAGCCCUUUCAUGAUGGCAGCAGGAGAAGCGGUGAAGAAGAGGGCAGAAGACAAGGAGGUCGUUGUCACUGCUGCGAGCUGGUGGGCAAGGUAAACCUGCUGCAUUUUAGAAAGCUGUGGUGGUAUAAAGGACGGUGCCAAUGGCACCAACCACCUUCAACAUCUGUCUUCCUUCCUCAUCUCUGAAAACACCAUCACUACCCAGAGGCAUGCCUGGUACUCCAUUAUUCCAACUCCAGUCAAGUUCACAAUGAAGACUCAUUACCACAGAAUUCAAAAAUGAUAACUUUAAAAAAAUUAAAAAGAAAAAAAAGCUAGGUUUUGCAAUCUGCCAAAGGACCUGCUCACUGGGAUUUCCUUCCCACUUCAUCAUUUGCCUCUUAGUUUUAUUUUUUUAUUAGAUGUUUUCUUCAUUUACAUUUCAAAUGCUAU
Long non-coding RNA from Mus musculus (house mouse), 726 nucleotides. RefSeq annotates it as predicted gene, 38467. The record is from RefSeq and is a predicted model, not a curated record. The transcript has 3 exons. Lineage: Eukaryota; Metazoa; Chordata; Mammalia; Rodentia; Muridae.